This 1321-nucleotide ribosomal RNA is filed under the name Staphylococcus aureus M0585. RNAcentral describes it as "bacterial LSU rRNA". It matches the Rfam family "Bacterial large subunit ribosomal RNA", at positions 937 to 2259 of the family's 2925-position model. The record is from RNAcentral. Lineage: Bacteria; Bacillati; Bacillota; Bacilli; Caryophanales; Staphylococcaceae.
UACCGAAUUCAGACAAACUCCGAAUGCCAAUUAAUUUAACUUGGGAGUCAGAACAUGGGUGAUAAGGUCCGUGUUCGAAAGGGAAACAGCCCAGACCACCAGCUAAGGUCCCAAAAUAUAUGUUAAGUGGAAAAGGAUGUGGCGUUGCCCAGACAACUAGGAUGUUGGCUUAGAAGCAGCCAUCAUUUAAAGAGUGCGUAAUAGCUCACUAGUCGAGUGACACUGCGCCGAAAAUGUACCGGGGCUAAACAUAUUACCGAAGCUGUGGAUUGUCCUUUGGACAAUGGUAGGAGAGCGUUCUAAGGGCGUUGAAGCAUGAUCGUAAGGACAUGUGGAGCGCUUAGAAGUGAGAAUGCCGGUGUGAGUAGCGAAAGACGGGUGAGAAUCCCGUCCACCGAUUGACUAAGGUUUCCAGAGGAAGGCUCGUCCGCUCUGGGUUAGUCGGGUCCUAAGCUGAGGCCGACAGGCGUAGGCGAUGGAUAACAGGUUGAUAUUCCUGUACCACCUAUAAUCGUUUUAAUCGAUGGGGGGACGCAGUAGGAUAGGCGAAGCGUGCGAUUGGAUUGCACGUCUAAGCAGUAAGGCUGAGUAUUAGGCAAAUCCGGUACUCGUUAAGGCUGAGCUGUGAUGGGGAGAAGACAUUGUGUCUUCGAGUCGUUGAUUUCACACUGCCGAGAAAAGCCUCUAGAUAGAAAAUAGGUGCCCGUACCGCAAACCGACACAGGUAGUCAAGAUGAGAAUUCUAAGGUGAGCGAGCGAACUCUCGUUAAGGAACUCGGCAAAAUGACCCCGUAACUUCGGGAGAAGGGGUGCUCUUUAGGGUUAACGCCCAGAAGAGCCGCAGUGAAUAGGCCCAAGCGACUGUUUAUCAAAAACACAGGUCUCUGCUAAACCGUAAGGUGAUGUAUAGGGGCUGACGCCUGCCCGGUGCUGGAAGGUUAAGAGGAGUGGUUAGCUUCUGCGAAGCUACGAAUCGAAGCCCCAGUAAACGGCGGCCGUAACUAUAACGGUCCUAAGGUAGCGAAAUUCCUUGUCGGGUAAGUUCCGACCCGCACGAAAGGCGUAACGAUUUGGGCACUGUCUCAACGAGAGACUCGGUGAAAUCAUAGUACCUGUGAAGAUGCAGGUUACCCGCGACAGGACGGAAAGACCCCGUGGAGCUUUACUGUAGCCUGAUAUUGAAAUUCGGCACAGCUUGUACAGGAUAGGUAGGAGCCUUUGAAACGUGAGCGCUAGCUUACGUGGAGGCGCUGGUGGGAUACUACCCUAGCUGUGUUGGCUUUCUAACCCGCACCACUUAUCGUGGUGGGAGACAGUGUCA